UACGUAGGCAACAAGCGUUGUUCGGAGUUACUGGGCGUAAAGGGUGCGUAGGCGGUUGCUUAAGUUUGGUGUGAAAUCUCCCGGCUCAACUGGGAGGGUGCGCCGAAUACUGAGUGACUAGAGUGCGGGAGAGGAAAGUGGAAUUCCUGGUGUAGCGGUGAAAUGCGUAGAUAUCAGGAGGAACACCGGUGGUGUAGACGGCUUUCUGGACCGUAACUGACGCUGAGACACGAAAGCGCGGGUAGCAAACAGG
Molecule: ribosomal RNA, 253 nt
Filed under: uncultured bacterium
Lineage: Bacteria
Description: partial 16S ribosomal RNA
Rfam family: Bacterial small subunit ribosomal RNA
Source: RNAcentral